RNAcentral lists this long non-coding RNA (1076 nucleotides) under Felis catus (domestic cat). Its description in RNAcentral is "lncRNA (ENSFCAG00000046071.2)". Lineage: Eukaryota; Metazoa; Chordata; Mammalia; Carnivora; Felidae. The record is from RNAcentral.
AUGAUAACAUUCCAACUCAAAAUAUCAAUUAUAAGAAAAUAGUCUAAUAGGGAAAAAUAGUAAUAAAAAGUAGUGAAGAAUAUUAAAAACAUAGUAAAAAAUAAAACACAAUAGGUUAUACCUCUCAGCUGCAUUUAGCAUUUGAGAACAUUUAGAAUAUCAAAGUCUAUGGAUUACUCUUAGAAAGAUCCCCACCUACUAUUGGCUCUAAAUUCCAUCUGAUAUGUAUUGCAGAAUUGGGGAACUGCACAGCAACUUUCCAUCCUCUACCUCUUCAUUCCCCACUUCCCUUAUUAUUCUGGCUACAUGGAGAGAGUAUUGACUUCUGUUCCAAGCAUAUGUCUUUCUUAGUGGGACUCCCCUUCUAGACCCUAGGGACCUUGAGCAACUAGUUUGUGUGCCAGCAGUUCUGUAUUUUUGGAUGAUGAAAAUUGAUUUUCCUCCUUUUAGCAGGUGCAGUCUCCGAGUGAGCCUCUCCCCUCAUGACCUGUGCAGAUUAUGCCAUCAAUAGUGGGAGAGGGGAUGAGGACGAACAUUUGGAGCCCUCAGCACACAGCUCCAAGGGGCCUGGUGAAGCCUUGCAGCAAUGAGGGUGCACUAGAAUAAAAGCGUCAAGACAAAGACCUGUGGCCUCGUCAAAGUUUGUUGAAGCAAAUGUUUCAGGUUGCCCCUCAAGUUCCAGGACGGGUAUCUUUUUAAGUAUCGACACCAAGAUUGGAGGCAGAAACGUGCAGGGAAAGCAUGGGAUUAAAAGGCAAGUGAUUCCAUUCUUGCCCUUACUCUGUGGUUGUCCACUGUGGCCUUGAAGAGUUUUUUCUGUGGCCAUCUCUGCAUUCCUUAAACCUUCAUUGUCUUAUAAGGUAGAUAUAAUUAUUGCCAUACUUCUCAAUUUGAUCUUGUUUUUCCUACUUUUUACCUAAAGAUCAAACUGUGAUCAAUUCUUCUUACCAAGGAAAACUCUGGGCAAAAUGUAAAGAUGGCAAAAUAAUGUCUUUGUGGUUCCUAAGACUUUCUUUCUAGUUCCUUUUUCUCUCCCAUGGCUCCUUCCUCCCUCUGCAUUUCUUCAUUCACCCCCA